RNAcentral lists this long non-coding RNA (744 nucleotides) under Homo sapiens (human). Its description in RNAcentral is "HSALNT0153411". Lineage: Eukaryota; Metazoa; Chordata; Mammalia; Primates; Hominidae. The record is from RNAcentral.
GGCUUGUCUUCCCCCAGGGACAGCAGAGCAACCUUGGAAAAGCAGAGGGAAGCUUCUCCCUUGGCACACACUGGGGUGGCUGUACCAUGCCUGCAGAUGCUCCCAAAUAGAGGCACUCCAAGCACUUUGUUUCUUAGCGUGAUUGAGGCUGGAUAUGUGAUUUGAUCUUUCUCUGGAACAUUCUUUCUAAUCAUCUUUGUGUUCAUUCCCUGAAAAUGAAGAGUGUGGACACAGCUUUAAAAUCCCCAAGGUAGCAACUAGGUCAUAGUUCCUUACACACGGAUAGAUGAAAAACAGAUCAGACUGGGAAGUGGCCCUUGACCUUUUUUCUUCUGUAGAUAAGAGCAUUGAUGUUAUUACGGGAAGAAGCCUUUGAGGCUUUUAUGUAUUCCACCUCGGUCUGGAAUUUGUUUCUGUAAGGCUAACAGUUGCAAUAUACUAGGGUAAUCUGAGUGAGCUGGAAUUAAAAAAAAAAAGGAAUUUCACCCCAAUCUUAUACUGACUUCAAUAGAGGUUUCAGACAAAAAGUUGUUUUGUAUAUACUUAUCAGUCAUGAAAAGAUAAUUACAACUAAAUGGCCUUUUUCCUUCCCUAUUUAUUUGGAGAAAUUUAAUUACAUAAAAAAGUACUCAGAAUAUUUGAGUUUCCUGCAUCAAUAAGACAUUUAUAAUAAUGACCUUGUUUACAAAUGAAUUUGAAAGUUACUCUAAUUCUUUGAUUCAUCAAGAAAUAACUAGAAUGGCA